Molecule: non-coding RNA, 374 nt
Organism: Myodes glareolus (Bank vole)
Lineage: Eukaryota; Metazoa; Chordata; Mammalia; Rodentia; Cricetidae
Source: RefSeq, a predicted model, not a curated record
GCGCGAGCGGCCGACUUCCGGUGCCACAUCACGUGGGAGGACCCUGCUAGCGAAAAACAGACUUCCGUUACGCGUCAGGUGGGCGGGGCGAAGGCCACGGGCCUAUGAGUUACAGUGCGGAAGCCAGUUCUGGGCCAGCUCCGGGGUAUCUGUGCACGUCAGCGUCAGCCACGGAACCCUACAACAGUGUUUCUUGGAGCCCAGGGCUCUUGGCCCCGGAAGAGCUCCUUUUGAUCCCGGAACUGCUAGUGGUGUGAACUCUCAGCUGCUGCUCCAACAUCAUUCCUGCCUGUCAGCUGCUGUGCUCCCUGCGUGGUCAGGCUCUCACCCGCUGAACUGUGAGCCACAGAUUAAAUGCCUUUUUGUUUUCCAUA